AGUGGCGGACGGGUGAGUAACGCGUAGGAAUCUACCUGAUAGUGGGGGAUAGCCCGAAGAAAUUCGGAUUAAUACCGCAUAAUCUAUUCGUAGUAAAGUGGGGGACUUUCGAGCCUCACGCUAUCAGAUGAGCCUGCGUAAGAUUAGCUAGUUGGUAGGGUAAAAGCCUACCAAGGCGACGAUCUUUAGCUGGUCUGAGAGGAUGAUCAGCCACAUCGGGACUGAGACACGGCCCGAACUCCUACGGGAGGCAGCAGUGGGGAAUAUUGGACAAUGGGGGCAACCCUGAUCCAGCAAUACCGCGUGUGUGAAGAAGGCCUGAGGGUUGUAAAGCACUUUCAAUUGUGAAGAAAAGCUAGUGGUUAAUAGCCAUUAGCCUUGACGUUAACUUUAGAAGAAGCACCGGCUAACUCCGUGCCAGCAGCCGCGGUAAUACGGAGGGUGCAAGCGUUAAUCGGAAUUACUGGGCGUAAAGCGUGCGUAGGCGGUUUAUUAAGUCAGAUGUGAAAGCCCCGGGCUUAACCUGGGAACUGCAUUUGAAACUGGUCAACUAGAGUAUGGUAGAGGAAAGUGGAAUUUCUGGUGUAGCGGUGAAAUGCGUAGAUAUCAGAAGGAACAUCAAUGGCGAAGGCCACUUUCUGGACAUACUGACGCUGAAGUACGAAAGCGUGGGUAGCAAACAGGAUUAGACUCUCUGG
Molecule: ribosomal RNA, 698 nt
Filed under: uncultured bacterium
Lineage: Bacteria
Description: bacterial SSU rRNA
Rfam family: Bacterial small subunit ribosomal RNA
Source: RNAcentral